RNAcentral lists this ribosomal RNA (837 nucleotides) under uncultured archaeon. Its description in RNAcentral is "bacterial SSU rRNA". It matches the Rfam family "Archaeal small subunit ribosomal RNA", at positions 21 to 859 of the family's 1478-position model. The record is from RNAcentral.
GGUUACUGCUAUCGGUGUUCGCUUAAGCCAUGCGAGUCAUAUGUUCUUCGGAACAUGGCGUACUGCUCAGUAACACGUGGAUAACCUGCCCUUGGGUCCGGCAUAACCCCGGGAAACUGGGGAUAAUUCCGGAUAACGCACAUAUGCUUGAAUGCUUUAUGCGUCAAAUGGAUUCGUCCGCCCAAGGAUGGGUCUGCGGCCUAUCAGGUAGUAGUGGGUGUAAAGUACCUACUAGCCUACGACGGGUACGGGUAGUGAGAGCAAGAGCCCGGAGAUGGAUUCUGAGACAUGAAUCCAGGCCCUACGGGGCGCAGCAGGCGCGAAAACUUUACAAUGCGGGAAACCGUGAUAAGGGGACACUGAGUGCCAGCAUCAUAUGCUGGCUGUCCGGGUGUGUAAAAUACACCUGUUAGCAAGGGCCGGGCAAGACCGGUGCCAGCCGCCGCGGUAACACCGGCGGCCCGAGUGGUGAUCGUGAUUAUUGGGUCUAAAGGGUCCGUAGCCGGUUUGGUCAGUCCUCCGGGAAAUCUGACGGCUUAACCGUUAGGCUUUCGGGGGAUACUGCCAGACUUGGAACCGGGAGAGGUAAGAGGUACUACAGGGGUAGGAGUGAAAUCUUGUAAUCCCUGUGGGACCACCUGUGGCGAAGGCGUCUUACCAGAACGGGUUCGACGGUGAGGGACGAAAGCUGGGGGCACGAACCGGAUUAGAUACCCGGGUAGUCCCAGCCGUAAACGAUGCUCGCUAGGUGUCAGGCAUGGCGCGACCGUGUCUGGUGCCGCAGGGAAGCCGUGAAGCGAGCCACCUGGGAAGUACGGCCGCAAGGCUGAAACUUAA